Molecule: ribosomal RNA, 484 nt
Filed under: uncultured bacterium
Lineage: Bacteria
Description: partial 16S ribosomal RNA
Rfam family: Bacterial small subunit ribosomal RNA
Source: RNAcentral
AUUGAACGCUGGCGGCAGGCCUAACACAUGCAAGUCGAGCGGAUGAAGGGAGCUUGCUCCUGGAUUCAGCGGCGGACGGGUGAGUAAUGCCUGGGAAUCUGCCUGGUAGUGGGGGAUAACGUCCGGAAACGGGCGCUAAUACCGCAUACGUCCUGAGGGAGAAAGUGGGGGAUCUUCGGACCUCACGCUAUCAGAUGAGCCUAGGUCGGAUUAGCUAGUUGGUGGGGUAAAGGCCUACCAAGGCGACGAUCCGUAACUGGUCUGAGAGGAUGAUCAGUCACACUGGAACUGAGACACGGUCCAGACUCCUACGGGAGGCAGCAGUGGGGAAUAUUGGACAAUGGGCGAAAGCCUGAUCCAGCCAUGCCGCGUGUGUGAAGAAGGUCUUCGGAUUGUAAAGUACUUUAAGUUGGGAGGAAGGGCAGUAAGUUAAUACCUUGCUGUUUUGACGUUACCAACAGAAUAAGCACCGGCUAACUUCGUG